This 493-nucleotide ribosomal RNA is filed under the name uncultured bacterium. RNAcentral describes it as "partial 16S ribosomal RNA". It matches the Rfam family "Bacterial small subunit ribosomal RNA", at positions 28 to 506 of the family's 1533-position model. The record is from RNAcentral.
GACGAACGCUGGCGGCGUGCCUAAUACAUGCAAGUAGAACGCUGAAGGAGGAGCUUGCUUCUCCGGAUGAGUUGCGAACGGGUGAGUAACGCGUAGGUAACCUGCCUGGUAGCGGGGGAUAACUAUUGGAAACGAUAGCUAAUACCGCAUAAGAGUAGAUGUUGCAUGACAUUUGCUUAAAAGGUGCAAUUGCAUCACUACCAGAUGGACCUGCGUUGUAUUAGCUAGUUGGUGGGGUAACGGCUCACCAAGGCGACGAUACAUAGCCGACCUGAGAGGGUGAUCGGCCACACUGGGACUGAGACACGGCCCAGACUCCUACGGGAGGCAGCAGUAGGGAAUCUUCGGCAAUGGACGGAAGUCUGACCGAGCAACGCCGCGUGAGUGAAGAAGGUUUUCGGAUCGUAAAGCUCUGUUGUAAGAGAAGAACGAGUGUGAGAGUGAAAGUUCACACUGUGACGGUAUCUUACCAGAAAGGGACGGCUAACUACGU